GCAAGUCGAACGAACUCUGGUAUUGAUUGGUGCUUGCAUCAUGAUUUACAUUUGAGUGAGUGGCGAACUGGUGAGUAACACGUGGGAAACCUGCCCAGAAGCGGGGGAUAACACCUGGAAACAGAUGCUAAUACCGCAUAACAACUUGGACCGCAUGGUCCGAGUUUGAAAGAUGGCUUCGGCUAUCACUUUUGGAUGGUCCCGCGGCGUAUUAGCUAGAUGGUGGGGUAACGGCUCACCAUGGCAAUGAUACGUAGCCGACCUGAGAGGGUAAUCGGCCACAUUGGGACUGAGACACGGCCCAAACUCCUACGGGAGGCAGCAGUAGGGAAUCUUCCACAAUGGACGAAAGUCUGAUGGAGCACGCCGCGUGAGUGAAGAAGGGUUUCGGCUCGUAAAACUCUGUUGUUAAAGAAGAACAUAUCUGAGAGUAACUGUUCAGGUAUUGACGGUAUUUAACCAGAAAGCCACGGCUAACUACGUGCCAGCAGCCGCGGUAAUACGUAGGUGGCAAGCGUUGUCCGGAUUUAUUGGGCGUAAAGCGAGCGCAGGCGGUUUUUUAAGUCUGAUGUGAAAGCCUUCGGCUCAACCGAAGAAGUGCAUCGGAAACUGGGAAACUUGAGUGCAGAAGAGGACAGUGGAACUCCAUGUGUAGCGGUGAAAUGCGUAGAUAUAUGGAAGAACACCAGUGGCGAAGGCGGCUGUCUGGUCUGUAACUGACGCUGAGGCUCGAAAGUAUGGGUAGCAAACAGGAUUAGAUACCCUGGUAGUCCAUACCGUAAACGAUGAAUGCUAAGUGUUGGAGGGUUUCCGCCCUUCAGUGCUGCAGCUAACGCAUUAAGCAUUCCGCCUGGGGAGUACGGCCGCAAGGCUGAAACUCAAAGGAAUUGACGGGGGCCCGCACAAGCGGUGGAGCAUGUGGUUUAAUUCGAAGCUACGCGAAGAACCUUACCAGGUCUUGACAUACUAUGCAAAUCUAAGAGCUUAGACGUUCCCUUCGGGGACAUGGAUACAGGUGGUGCAUGGUUGUCGUCAGCUCGUGUCGUGAGAUGUUGGGUUAAGUCCCGCAACGAGCGCAACCCUUAUUAUCAGUUGCCAGCAUUAAGUUGGGCACUCUGGUGAGACUGCCGGUGACAAACCGGAGGAAGGUGGGGAUGACGUCAAAUCAUCAUGCCCCUUAUGACCUGGGCUACACACGUGCUACAAUGGAUGGUACAACGAGUUGCGAACUCGCGAGAGUAAGCUAAUCUCUUAAAGCCAUUCUCAGUUCGGAUUGUAGGCUGCAACUCGCCUACAUGAAGUCGGAAUCGCUAGUAAUCGCGGAUCAGCAUGCCGCGGUGAAUACGUUCCCGGGCCUUGUACACACCGCCCGUCAC
This 1376-nucleotide ribosomal RNA is filed under the name Lactiplantibacillus plantarum. RNAcentral describes it as "bacterial SSU rRNA". It matches the Rfam family "Bacterial small subunit ribosomal RNA", at positions 57 to 1400 of the family's 1533-position model. Lineage: Bacteria; Bacillati; Bacillota; Bacilli; Lactobacillales; Lactobacillaceae. The record is from RNAcentral.